UUUUAUGUUUCUUCCAGGGUGAUUUGCUCUGGUAUAUCUUCGAUGUAAUCUAUAUGUAUAAUGAUUUAUGGAUAACUGACGGCUCAGUACAUUGAGAAUAAAAUUCCCCGAGUAAAUUUACUCUUUGCAAAGAGGGAAAAAUUAGUUAUCAUGUCCGUAUGCUCUCAUCGCCGUGGUAGUGCAUUACAUGUGGCGUUGCUGAAGAUGUUUGAGGAUGAAAGUAGGUAGGUAAGUAGGUAUAAGCGGAAGUCGGCUUAACGGUUACGAGACAAGCCUCGCACUUGUUCAAUAAGAGAUGAUACGACACAACCCGAGGCUUAAAACUUGCUCAAAUAAUAUAUUUGAAGAGUAAAAGCUACAGACUUUUAUAUUACACGUUUUUAUGACAGGGCCAGAUAAGUCAAUCAAGGAAAAUCCUGUGGGAAAAUGAAACAAACAAAUUUAGUUGUUACUAGCUGGGGUGAGAAUUUAUUUAAGUCUGGCGAUGGUGAGCGAGGUAGAGCUUUGCGAGUUCUGACGGACACUACAGGGUUGGAGAACAAUAGUGACGUUGUGAAGGCCGAUGACCCUCUAGGAGUUGCCACU
Long non-coding RNA from Microplitis demolitor, 585 nucleotides. RefSeq lists it as uncharacterized. NCBI's taxonomy places the organism in Eukaryota, Metazoa, Arthropoda, Insecta, Hymenoptera, Braconidae. The transcript is spliced from 3 exons. The record is from RefSeq and is a predicted model, not a curated record.